AACUAUCCCUAUUAAUCAUUAUUCUAAGUCUAUAAACCAAUAAAUAGACAAGAAUCCUAUUCUAUUAUCCCAUGCUAAUCUAUUCAAUGCCCAUACAGGCUGCUUUUGAACACUCUAAUUUACUCAAAGUAAAUGAACUGGAACCCCACUUAAUACCUUACUGUGAUCCUUUAGGUUUCGUAACCAGUUUUACCCAAUUACUACAUCUAAAAGCAAUAAAAUACUAAGCGAUGCCUUGCGACACUACUCCAUGCAAUAAAGAACAGAGUCGAGUAACCAGUAGGAAAGAGCAAUUUACCUUGAGAAAAACAGAGUGUUCCAGGCAGGUUUGUCCGGAAUGCAUUAGCAUGGAAUAAUAGAAUAUGACUGAAGUCGAUUUAUUGGUUUAAGGCUUUAGUAAUGAUUAAUAGGAACAGUCGGGGGC
Molecule: ribosomal RNA, 424 nt
Filed under: uncultured eukaryote
Lineage: Eukaryota
Description: partial 18S ribosomal RNA
Rfam family: Eukaryotic small subunit ribosomal RNA (bases 292-424)
Source: RNAcentral